GCUCAGGACGAACGCUGGCGGCGUGCCUAAUACAUGCAAGUCGAGCGGAUUUCACCUUCGGGUGAAGUUAGCGGCGGACGGGUGAGUAACACGUAGGCAACCUGCCUGUAAGACUGGGAUAACUAUCGGAAACGAUAGCUAAGACCGGAUAGCUGGAUGGAACGCAUGUUCCGUUCAUGAAACACGGAGCAAUCUGUGGCUUACAGAUGGGCCUGCGGCGCAUUAGCUAGUUGGUGAGGUAACGGCUCACCAAGGCGACGAUGCGUAGCCGACCUGAGAGGGUGAUCGGCCACACUGGGACUGAGACACGGCCCAGACUCCUACGGGAGGCAGCAGUAGGGAAUCUUCCGCAAUGGACGCAAGUCUGACGGAGCAACGCCGCGUGAGUGAUGAAGGUUUUCGGAUCGUAAAGCUCUGUUGCCAGGGAAGAACGCCUUAGAGAGUAACUGCUCUAAGGGUGACGGUACCUGAGAAGAAAGCCCCGGCUAACUACGUGC
Molecule: ribosomal RNA, 497 nt
Filed under: Paenibacillus sp. MP10
Lineage: Bacteria; Bacillati; Bacillota; Bacilli; Caryophanales; Paenibacillaceae
Description: bacterial SSU rRNA
Rfam family: Bacterial small subunit ribosomal RNA
Source: RNAcentral